CGGGCCAUAGCUCAGUAGUAGAGCUCCCGUUCCCUAUGCGGGAAGACCUGCGUUCGAUUCCCAGCUGCUUGU
Molecule: transfer RNA, 72 nt
Filed under: Toxocara canis (dog roundworm)
Lineage: Eukaryota; Metazoa; Nematoda; Chromadorea; Rhabditida; Toxocaridae
Rfam family: tRNA
About the family: Transfer RNA (tRNA) molecules are approximately 80 nucleotides in length. Their secondary structure includes four short double-helical elements and three loops (D, anti-codon, and T loops).
Source: Rfam by way of RNAcentral